Molecule: unclassified non-coding RNA, 276 nt
Filed under: rhizosphere metagenome
Description: partial ribosomal RNA internal transcribed spacer region
Source: RNAcentral
GAAUAUAAUUCGGUCGGCAGGAAGGAGGGAGCUGUCGCUGGCCCUAUGGGCAUGUGCACGCUCUCUUUGGAAUGUCGGUCCGUCUUUUCAUAUUUUCACCAGUGCACCUAAUGUAGGAUGCCUCUCCUCCGGGAGGGGGUACCUAUGUCUUUUUCAGACGCCAUAAGUUUAGAAAGUUCUCAGAAUGUUUACUAUCGUUCGAGCCGCGACUUCCAGGAGACGCGGGUCGGCGAGAUAAAAGUUAUCACAACUUUCAGCAAUGGAUCUCUUGGCUCU